UCAGACGAUGCGUCAUGCAUAUCAAUAAGCGGAGGAAAAGAAACUAAUCAAGGAUUCCCCUAGUAACGGCGAGUGAAGCGGGAAGAGCUCAAAUUUGAAAUCUUAAAGGGUUUCCCUUUACGAAUUGUAGUUUAAAGAAGUGUUUUCUGUUGAGGUUUUGGUAAAAGUUCUUUGGAAUAGGACAUCAUAGAGGGUGAGAAUCCCGUAUUUGACCUUUACUUUCAACUUUGUGAUACACUUUCAACGAGUCGGAUUGUUUGGGAAUGCAGUCCAAAAUGGGUGGUAAAUUUCAUCUAAAGCUAAAUAUUGGCGAGAGACCGAUAGCGAACAAGUACCGUGAGGGAAAGAUGAAAAGAACUUUGAAAAGAGAGUUAAACAGUACGUGAAAUUGUCAAAAGGGAGGCGUUUGACACCAGUGUUGUUUUUCUGAAAAUCAAUUAAAGAACUGUUUAUGCUAAGCUGUUUAGACUUUAUCAGCUAUCUGUUUAGUUUUGAGCUUUUCUUUAAUGCACUUUUCAGUUAACAAGUCAACAUCAAUUUCUUUUGCUGUAAAAAAGCUUGAGGAAGGUGGCUUGAGAUUCGUCUUAAGUGUUUAUAGCCUCUUGCCUAUGCAGUCGGAGAGAUUGAGGUCUGCAGCGUAGAUCCUUCGGGGCUAAAUGCAUUUGUGCUAAGUUAUAGCAUUUUAUAGACAACUUGUUGACUAUGAUUUGUCUUGUAGCUUACUCGCUUAUGUUAUUUUACCUACGCUUAGGAUGUUGAAUCUGUGCGAGACUAC
RNAcentral lists this ribosomal RNA (775 nucleotides) under uncultured Neocallimastigales. RNAcentral describes it as "partial large subunit ribosomal RNA". It matches the Rfam family "Eukaryotic large subunit ribosomal RNA", at positions 18 to 644 of the family's 3401-position model. Lineage: Eukaryota; Fungi; Neocallimastigomycota; Neocallimastigomycetes; Neocallimastigales. The record is from RNAcentral.